AGGACGAACGCUGGCGGCGUGCUUAACACAUGCAAGUCGAGCGGAAAGGCCUUUCGGGGUACUCGAGCGGCGAACGGGUGAGUAACACGUGAGCAACCUGCCCUUAGCUCUGGGAUAGCUCCGGGAAACCGGAAUUAAUACCGGAUAUUACACCGGCUGGCAUCGGCUGGUGUGGAAAGAUUUAUCGGCUAAGGAUGGACUCGCGGCCUAUCAGCUUGUUGGUGGGGUAGAAGCCUACCAAGGCGACGACGGGUA
RNAcentral lists this ribosomal RNA (255 nucleotides) under uncultured bacterium. RNAcentral describes it as "partial small subunit ribosomal RNA". It matches the Rfam family "Bacterial small subunit ribosomal RNA", at positions 26 to 285 of the family's 1533-position model. The record is from RNAcentral.